GUGGGGAAUUUUGGACAAUGGGCGCAAGCCUGAUCCAGCAAUGCCGCGUGCAGGAAGAAGGCCUUCGGGUUGUAAACUGCUUUUGUACGGAACGAAAGGGCUCUGGUUAAUACCUGGGGCUCAUGACGGUACCGUAAGAAUAAGCACCGGCUAACUACGUGCCAGCAGCCGCGGUAAUACGUAGGGUGCAAGCGUUAAUCGGAAUUACUGGGCGUAAAGCGUGCGCAGGCGGUUUUGUAAGACAGACGUGAAAUCCCCGGGCUCAACCUGGGAAUGGCGUUUGUGACUGCAAAGCUGGAGUGCGGCAGAGGGGGAUGGAAUUCCGCGUGUAGCAGUGAAAUGCGUAGAUAUGCGGAGGAACACCGAUGGCGAAGGCAAUCCCCUGGGCCUGCACUGACGCUCAUGCACGAAAGCGUGGGGAGCAAACAGGAUUAGAUACCCUAGUAGUCC
This 450-nucleotide ribosomal RNA is filed under the name uncultured bacterium. Its description in RNAcentral is "partial 16S ribosomal RNA". It matches the Rfam family "Bacterial small subunit ribosomal RNA", at positions 354 to 796 of the family's 1533-position model. The record is from RNAcentral.